Molecule: ribosomal RNA, 800 nt
Filed under: uncultured bacterium
Lineage: Bacteria
Description: bacterial SSU rRNA
Rfam family: Bacterial small subunit ribosomal RNA
Source: RNAcentral
AGAGUUUGAUCAUGGCUCAGGAUAAACGCUGGCGGCGCACAUAAGACAUGCAAGUCGAACGGACUUAAUCGAUUCUUUUAGAUUCGAAGCGGUUAGUGGCGGACUGGUGAGUAACACGUAAGCAACCUGCCUAUUAGAGGGGAAUAACAGUGAGAAAUCAUUGCUAAUACCGCAUAAGCUGAUAGUAUCGCAUGAUAUAGUCAGAAAAGGAGCAAUCCGCUAAUAGAUGGGCUUGCGUCUGAUUAGCUAGUUGGUGAGGUAACGGCUUACCAAGGCGACGAUCAGUAGCCGAGCUGAGAGGCUCUACGGCCACAUUGGGACUGAGAUACGGCCCAGACUCCUACGGGAGGCAGCAGUCGGGAAUAUUGCGCAAUGGAGGGAACUCUGACGCAGUGACGCCGCGUAUAGGAAGAAGGUUUUCGGAUUGUAAACUAUUGUCGUGAGGGAAGAAAAAUGACAGUACCUCAAGAGGAAGCUCCGGCUAACUAUGUGCCAGCAGCCGCGGUAAUACAUAGGGAGCAAGCGUUAUCCGGAUUUAUUGGGUGUAAAGGGUGCGUAGACGGAGAAGCAAGUUGGUUGUGAAAUCCCUCGGCUCAACUGAGGAACUGCAACCAAAACUACUUCCCUUGAGUGUCGGAGAGGAAAGUGGAAUUCCUAGUGUAGCGGUGAAAUGCGUAGAUAUUAGGAGGAACGCCAGUGGCGAAGGCGACUUUCUGGACGAUAACUGACGUUGAGGCACGAAAGUGUGGGGAGCAAACAGGAUUAGAUACCCUGGUAGUCCACACUGUAAACGAUGGAUA